RNAcentral lists this ribosomal RNA (2051 nucleotides) under Pyrenophora dictyoides. RNAcentral's name for it is "SSU rRNA". It matches the Rfam family "Eukaryotic small subunit ribosomal RNA". Lineage: Eukaryota; Fungi; Ascomycota; Dothideomycetes; Pleosporales; Pleosporaceae. The record is from RNAcentral.
AUUAUACCGUGAAACUGCGAAUGGCUCAUUAAAUCAGUUAUCGUUUAUUUGAUAAUACCUUACUACUUGGAUAACCGUGGUAAUUCUAGAGCUAAUACAUGCUGAAAAUCCCGACUUCGGAAGGGAUGUGUUUAUUAGAUAAAAAACCAAUGCCCUUCGGGGCUCCUUGGUGAUUCAUAAUAACUUUACGGAUCGCAUAGCCUUGCGCUGGCGACGGUUCAUUCAAAUUUCUGCCCUAUCAACUUUCGAUGGUAAGGUAUUGGCUUACCAUGGUUUCAACGGGUAACGGGGAAUUAGGGUUCGAUUCCGGAGAGGGAGCCUGAGAAACGGCUACCACAUCCAAGGAAGGCAGCAGGCGCGCAAAUUACCCAAUCCCGAUUCGGGGAGGUAGUGACAAUAAAUACUGAUACAGGGCUCUUUUGGGUCUUGUAAUUGGAAUGAGUACAAUUUAAACCUCUUAACGAGGAACAAUUGGAGGGCAAGUCUGGUGCCAGCAGCCGCGGUAAUUCCAGCUCCAAUAGCGUAUAUUAAAGUUGUUGCAGUUAAAAAGCUCGUAGUUGAAACUUGGGUCUGGCUGGCGGGUCCGCCUCACCGCGUGCACUCGACUGGCUGGGCCUUCCUUCUGAAGAACCUCAUGCCCUUUACUGGGCGUGUUGGGGAAUCAGGACUUUUACUUUGAAAAAAUUAGAGUGUUCAAAGCAGGCCUUUGCUCGAAUACGUUAGCAUGGAAUAAUAAAAUAGGGCGUGCGUUUCUAUUUUGUUGGUUUCUAGAGACGCCGCAAUGAUUAACAGGAACAGUCGGGGGCAUCAGUAUUCAGUUGUCAGAGGUGAAAUUCUUGGAUUUACUGAAGACUAACUACUGCGAAAGCAUUUGCCAAGGAUGUUUUCAUUAAUCAGUGAACGAAAGUUAGGGGAUCGAAGACGAUCAGAUACCGUCGUAGUCUUAACCGUAAACUAUGCCGACUAGGGAUCGGGCGAUGUUCUUUUUCUGACUCGCUCGGCACCUUACGAGAAAUCAAAGUUUUUGGGUUCUGGGGGGAUUAUGGUCGCAAGGCUGAAACUUAAAGAAAUUGACGGAAGGUCACCACCAGGCGUGGAGCCUGCGGCUUAAUUUGACUCAACACGGGGAAACUCACCAGGUUCAGAUGAAAUAAGGAUUGACAGAUUGAGAGCUCUUUCUUGAUUUUUCAGGUGGUGGUGCAUGGCCGUUCUUAGUUCGUGGGGUGACUUGUCUGCUUAAUUGCGAUAACGAGCGAGACCUUACUCUGCUAAAUAGCCAGGCUAGCUUUGGCUGGUCGCCGGCUUCUUAGAGAGACUAUCAACUCAAGUUGAUGGAAGUUUGAGGCAAUAACAGGUUAACCUACACAGGCCUGUAACAGUGGGCCUCGUUAAAGAUAACUGCUAGUCUAGCGUCUUAACCUUCUUUGGGGAAGUCCCCUACUGUCGGGAGAAGGCAAGUUUUACUUGUGACGUAGGCAACACCACCUGGUACAGGGAACGCCGGAUCUGCUAUUGCGUGUGCAGAUUGGCCGAUCCUGUGGCGAGCCAAAGUAACGCUUGGCCGUCGCAACGCGCGGAAAGGGGUGGGCUGACUGGAAACAGUUGGCUUAAGGUACGUGCUAAUCCCUUGGGAAACCAAGCUCUGGUGAUGAGACCCGACAGGUCGAGGCACCAGAGGGCAGUUGGAGCAAUCGGACUGCUGGUAGGUUCACAUAAUACUAUGUGAAUUGUAAUAUGCUGUGAUGCCCUUAGAUAUUCUGGGCCGCACGCGCGCUACACUGACAGAGCCAACGAGUUCUUUCCCUUGGCCGAAAGGUCUGGGUAAUCUUGUUAAACUCUGUCGUGCUGGGGAUAAAGCAUUGCAAUUAUUGCUUUUCAACGAGGAAUGCCUAGUAAGCGCGUGUCAUCAGCAUGCGUUGAUUACGUCCCUGACCUUUGUACACACCGCCCGUCGCUACUACCGAUUGAAUGGCUCAGUGAGGCCUUCGGACUGGCUCGGGGAGGUUGGCAACGACCACCCCAAGCCGGAAAGUUGGUCAAACUCGGUCAUU